RNAcentral lists this ribosomal RNA (116 nucleotides) under Sinocyclocheilus rhinocerous. The record is from RNAcentral. Lineage: Eukaryota; Metazoa; Chordata; Actinopteri; Cypriniformes; Cyprinidae.
GCCACAGCCAUAUCACCCUGUAGCCCAAGACUGAUUGCUCACUGAAGCUAAGCAGGGUUGAGCUUGGCCAGUACCUGGAUGGGAGACCUCCUGGGAAAACUAGGUUGCUGCUGGAA